RNAcentral lists this transfer RNA (89 nucleotides) under Fimbriimonadales bacterium. Its description in RNAcentral is "tRNA-Leu". It matches the Rfam family "tRNA". Rfam says of the family: Transfer RNA (tRNA) molecules are approximately 80 nucleotides in length. Their secondary structure includes four short double-helical elements and three loops (D, anti-codon, and T loops). Lineage: Bacteria; Bacillati; Armatimonadota; Fimbriimonadia; Fimbriimonadales. The record is from RNAcentral.
GCCGGAGUGGCGGAACAGGUAGACGCGCCGGUCUCAAAAAUCGGUCUGGGGCGACCCAGGUGUGGGUUCGAGUCCCACCUCCGGCACCA